This 1027-nucleotide ribosomal RNA is filed under the name Escherichia coli. RNAcentral describes it as "partial 23S ribosomal RNA". It matches the Rfam family "Bacterial large subunit ribosomal RNA", at positions 253 to 1318 of the family's 2925-position model. The record is from RNAcentral. Lineage: Bacteria; Pseudomonadati; Pseudomonadota; Gammaproteobacteria; Enterobacterales; Enterobacteriaceae.
GCGAACGGGGAGGAGCCCAGAGCCUGAAUCAGUGUGUGUGUUAGUGGAAGCGUCUGGAAAGGCGCGCGAUACAGGGUGACAGCCCCGUACACAAAAAUGCACAUGCUGUGAGCUCGAUGAGUAGGGCGGGACACGUGGUAUCCUGUCUGAAUAUGGGGGGACCAUCCUCCAAGGCUAAAUACUCCUGACUGACCGAUAGUGAACCAGUACCGUGAGGGAAAGGCGAAAAGAACCCCGGCGAGGGGAGUGAAAAAGAACCUGAAACCGUGUACGUACAAGCAGUGGGAGCACGCUUAGGCGUGUGACUGCGUACCUUUUGUAUAAUGGGUCAGCGACUUAUAUUCUGUAGCAAGGUUAACCGAAUAGGGGAGCCGAAGGGAAACCGAGUCUUAACUGGGCGUUAAGUUGCAGGGUAUAGACCCGAAACCCGGUGAUCUAGCCAUGGGCAGGUUGAAGGUUGGGUAACACUAACUGGAGGACCGAACCGACUAAUGUUGAAAAAUUAGCGGAUGACUUGUGGCUGGGGGUGAAAGGCCAAUCAAACCGGGAGAUAGCUGGUUCUCCCCGAAAGCUAUUUAGGUAGCGCCUCGUGAAUUCAUCUCCGGGGGUAGAGCACUGUUUCGGCAAGGGGGUCAUCCCGACUUACCAACCCGAUGCAAACUGCGAAUACCGGAGAAUGUUAUCACGGGAGACACACGGCGGGUGCUAACGUCCGUCGUGAAGAGGGAAACAACCCAGACCGCCAGCUAAGGUCCCAAAGUCAUGGUUAAGUGGGAAACGAUGUGGGAAGGCCCAGACAGCCAGGAUGUUGGCUUAGAAGCAGCCAUCAUUUAAAGAAAGCGUAAUAGCUCACUGGUCGAGUCGGCCUGCGCGGAAGAUGUAACGGGGCUAAACCAUGCACCGAAGCUGCGGCAGCGACGCUGAUGCGUUGUUGGGUAGGGGAGCGUUCUGUAAGCCUGCGAAGGUGUGCUGUGAGGCAUGCUGGAGGUAUCAGAAGUGCGAAUGCUGACAUAAGUAACGAUAAAGC